RNAcentral lists this transfer RNA (75 nucleotides) under Coleochaete orbicularis. RNAcentral describes it as "tRNA-Pro". It matches the Rfam family "tRNA". From Rfam's summary of the family: Transfer RNA (tRNA) molecules are approximately 80 nucleotides in length. Their secondary structure includes four short double-helical elements and three loops (D, anti-codon, and T loops). The record is from RNAcentral. Lineage: Eukaryota; Viridiplantae; Streptophyta; Coleochaetophyceae; Coleochaetales; Coleochaetaceae. RNAcentral also lists the same sequence under 1 other name.
UGGAGUGUAGCGUAGUCUGGUUAGCGUGCCUGUUUUGGGUACAGGAAGUCACAGGUUCGAAUCCUGUCACUCCAA